This 478-nucleotide ribosomal RNA is filed under the name uncultured bacterium. Its description in RNAcentral is "partial 16S ribosomal RNA". It matches the Rfam family "Bacterial small subunit ribosomal RNA", at positions 28 to 523 of the family's 1533-position model. The record is from RNAcentral.
GACGAACGCUGGCGGCGUGCUUGACACAUGCAAGUCGAACGGUAAGGCCCUUCGGGGUACACGAGUGGCGAACGGGUGAGUAACACGUGGGUGAUCUGCCCUGCACUUCGGGAUAAGCCUGGGAAACUGGGUCUAAUACCGGAUAGGACCACUGCCUGCAUGGGUGGUGGUGGAAAGCUUUUGCGGUGUGGGAUGGGCCCGCGGCCUAUCAGCUUGUUGGUGGGGUGAUGGCCUACCAAGGCGACGACGGGUAGCCGGCCUGAGAGGGUGACCGGCCACACUGGGACUGAGAUACGGCCCAGACUCCUACGGGAGGCAGCAGUGGGGAAUAUUGUACAAUGGGCGCAAGCCUGAUGCAGCGACGCCGCGUGAGGGAUGACGGCCUUCGGGUUGUAAACCUCUUUCAGCACCGACGAAGCGCAAGUGGCGGUAGGUGCAGAAGAAGGACCGGCCAACUACGUGCCAGCCGCCGCCGUAA